CGACGCGUUGGUCCCCCUGAGCAUCCCUCUGCUGUUCGACUACUUCCUCUACAGCCGAGGAAAUUCUAUCGAGUUCUCCCGGAGCACAGGGCCAGAGCGGACCAGAUGGUGUUGCGCCAAUGCAAGAAGAAGGCCCGCCAGAUGCAGUACGAGGUGCGCUAUGUGGCCAUCUCGACAUACCAUCACGACUAUCUUGGUGUGAAGAUGACCAAGGAAGACGCGCGGAGGAUGGGCAUUACCUUGGAGAGGGACGAGUUCUUGAAGGUGUUACCAAAUUGGUGUUAUGGAAAAGACGAGUCCUGGGCGGCAUUGGUGGAUCUUUG
Molecule: non-coding RNA, 323 nt
Organism: Aegilops tauschii subsp. strangulata
Lineage: Eukaryota; Viridiplantae; Streptophyta; Magnoliopsida; Poales; Poaceae
Source: RefSeq, a predicted model, not a curated record